CUGAAAUGCCAGGCACACCCAAGGUCAUUAAACUCUAUUAAUUUUGUAGUACUUUUGCUUUAUUGACUCGUGAACAUGAAAUGCUGCAUACAUUUAUUCUGUCAUUGACUUUGUGGUAGUCAAAACAUUCACAGCUUUCACACCGUGAUCAGGAUCAAACAUUUGUUCCAGACUCGAUGAGUUUUGGAGGUAACUUACGUCUUUUAGCCAUUUGUUGUUUCCUUGUGCAUAUUCUGCCUAGUCCUGCUGAUAUAUAUUUGAUUGGGAUAUCAGGGGAAAGGGCAGGCAGAAGGGACCAGAAACGCAAGGUAGAAAUCAAUUUUGUUUAUUUCCCCCACUAGUAAUAUUUUACUUCCUCCAAUCUACUUUGGUAUCUGAUAAUCCUGAAUAAUGUCAAGGGACCUGGAAGGUUAUCCGAGGCUCCAUUGUUGCCAGCUCAUAAGAGGCCCAGAAAAUUGAAGGCUUCUGAUCUAUGAGCAUCCCAUUUUUAGAAUGUCAAGUUGGUGCUACAUCCGAUGAAAGAGCCGGACUGGGAUUUAAUUGCAAGUUGGAGAAGUCUUAAUAGUAGGGAUGAAGGUAACCUUUUGUCAUAUCAGAAACUGUAAAAGCGUUUUCAUUAGUGGAUGCGAAGCGCGUAAUACUUGAGUUCUGUACAAAUGGUUUAUUUUUGGAGAGCUUAGGAGUUUCUUACUUAGUGAACUAAACAUUUUUAUGGAAAUGCAUCCCUUCUGAGAAUAGAAAUCAAUGACUU
RNAcentral lists this unclassified non-coding RNA (751 nucleotides) under Hevea brasiliensis (rubber tree). Lineage: Eukaryota; Viridiplantae; Streptophyta; Magnoliopsida; Malpighiales; Euphorbiaceae. The record is from RNAcentral.